RNAcentral lists this ribosomal RNA (512 nucleotides) under uncultured bacterium. Its description in RNAcentral is "bacterial SSU rRNA". It matches the Rfam family "Bacterial small subunit ribosomal RNA", at positions 355 to 881 of the family's 1533-position model. The record is from RNAcentral.
UGGGGAAUCUUGGACAAUGGGGGCAACCCUGAUCCAGCCAUGCCGCGUGAGUGAUGAAGGCCUUAGGGUCGUAAAGCUCUUUCGCCUGUGAAGAUAAUGACGGUAGCAGGUAAAGAAACCCCGGCUAACUCCGUGCCAGCAGCCGCGGUAAUACGGAGGGGGUUAGCGUUGUUCGGAAUUACUGGGCGUAAAGCGCACGUAGGCGGACCAGAAAGUUGGGGGUGAAAUCCCGGGGGCUCAACCCCGGAACUGCCUCCAAAACUAUUGGUCUAGAGUUCGAGAGAGGUGAGUGGAAUUCCAAGUGUAGAGGUGAAAUUCGUAGAUAUUUGGAGGAACACCAGUGGCGAAGGCGGCUCACUGGCUCGAUACUGACGCUGAGGUGCGAAAGUGUGGGGAGCAAAACAGGAUUAGAUACCCUGGUAGUCCACGCCGUAAAACGAUGUCUGCUAGUCGUUGGGGGGCGUAGCCCUUCAGUGACGCCGCUAACGCAUUAAGCAGACCGCCUGGGGAGU